Molecule: ribosomal RNA, 701 nt
Filed under: Uropelia campestris
Lineage: Eukaryota; Metazoa; Chordata; Aves; Columbiformes; Columbidae
Description: partial 12S ribosomal RNA
Rfam family: Bacterial small subunit ribosomal RNA
Source: RNAcentral
UCACACAAGAGACCCAAAUUAAUAGUAUGCGGCGUAAAGAGUGGACCCAUGAUUAUCAAAGCAAUUAAGGCCGAGACGUAGCUAGGCUGUCAUAAGCUCAAGCUACACUUAAAACCGCCCUAAAAAUGACCUUAAUACCCACGAUAGAUUAAACUCCACGAAAGCCAGGGCACAAACUGGGAUUAGAUACCCCACUAUGCCUGGCCCUAAAUCUUGAUGCUCACCCUACUAAAGCAUCCGCCCGAGAACUACGAGCGCAAACGCUUAAAACUCUAAGGACUUGGCGGUGCCCCAAACCCACCUAGAGGAGCCUGUCCUAUAAUCGACAAUCCACGAUACACCCGACCACUUCUUGCCAAAACAGCUUACAUACCGCCGUCACCAGCCCACCUUCACUGAAAGGACAAUAGUGGGCCCAAUUGCCCCCACCCGCCAACAAGACAGGUCAAGGUAUAGCCCAUGAAGUGGAAGAGAUGGGCUACAUUUUCUACCUUAGAAAACCAUUCAAACGGAAGGGGGCAUGAAACCUUGCCCCCCGAAGGCGGAUUUAGCAGUAAAGCAGGACAAUAAAGCCCCCUUUAAACCGGCUCUGAGGCACGUACAUACCGCCCGUCACCCUCCUCACCAAGCCCCUUACACCCCAUAAAUAAUAUGCCCGGCUACCAAAGAUGAGGUAAGUCGUAACAAGGUAAGUGUACCGG